This 239-nucleotide ribosomal RNA is filed under the name uncultured bacterium. RNAcentral's name for it is "partial 16S ribosomal RNA". It matches the Rfam family "Bacterial small subunit ribosomal RNA", at positions 1262 to 1500 of the family's 1533-position model. The record is from RNAcentral.
GUGGAGCGAAACCCAGAAAAGUACUCUCAGUUCAGAUUGUGGGCUGCAACCCGCCCACAUGAAGUUGGAGUUGCUAGUAAUCGCGGAUCAGCAUGUCGCGGUGAAUACGUUCCCGGGCCUUGUACACACCGCCCGUCACACCAUGGGAGCCGGUAAUACCCGAAGUCAGUAGCCUAACCGCAAGGGGGGCGCUGCCGAAGGUAGGAUUGGCGACUGGGGUGAAGUCGUAACAAGGUAUC